GUCUAAGCUAGCUGGCUAUUGUGUGAAAACACCCCAACAGAAGUCAAAAAAAAAUUUCAAGAAAGACGGCUCUAGUUUCCAAUUCUUGACCAGCCUUCAAGUUUUACCAAAUCUGAUUCAAAGGUCAAAAAAAAAAUUUUCAAGAAAGACGGCUCUAGUUUCCAAUUCUUGACCAGCCUUCAAGUUUUACCAAAUCUGAUUCAAACUUGGACUUUCAAAUCUGAACAGCCCUAGUCUUGGUCAGCAUUCAAGCCACCAAAUCUGAUUCAAACUUGGACUUUCAAAUCUGAACAGCCCUAGUCUUGGUCAGCAUUCAAGCCACCAAAUCUGAUUCAAACUUGGACUUCCAAAUCUGAACAACAUCCAAUUCUUGACAGCCUACAAGUUUACCAAAUUUUGUGCAAAAUCUGACUUCCAAA
RNAcentral lists this long non-coding RNA (419 nucleotides) under Coffea arabica (coffee). RNAcentral describes it as "long non-coding RNA (CARA_LNC008225)". Lineage: Eukaryota; Viridiplantae; Streptophyta; Magnoliopsida; Gentianales; Rubiaceae. The record is from RNAcentral.